Molecule: long non-coding RNA, 1956 nt
Organism: Lepisosteus oculatus (spotted gar)
Lineage: Eukaryota; Metazoa; Chordata; Actinopteri; Semionotiformes; Lepisosteidae
Source: Ensembl
ACAGGAACUAAUGUAAGAGCCUUAACUUUUACCAAGAAAGCUUACACACAGUGUGCUUCUGGGUUUAAGCUAGUCAACGCCCAGUUGGUCAAACUAGCAGUGUGCACUCCAGGUCCUGUACCUGUUCAUCAUGGGGAUACAGGCUCACUACAGACGCACCUGCACGCAACAGACUCAGAAUCUCAACACCAUCCCCUACAGCCAUCAAGAUCUCAACACCAUCCAGCAGAACCGCCAUGAACCCAACACCGACCUCCAGAACUGUCAUGAACGCAACGCCGACCCCCAGAACUGUCAUGAAAACACCGACCCCCAGAACCAUCAUGAACUCAACGCCGACCCCCAGAAUUGUCAUGAACUUAACGCAAAACUUUAAAACCAUUGGGAACUCAACACCGACCCUCAGAACCGUCAUGAACUGAACACUGUCCCCCUGAAUGGUCAUGAACUCAACGCUGUCCCCCUGAAUGGUCAUGAACUCAUCACCGUCCCCCUGAACUCUCAAGAUCUCAACACUGUCCCCCCUGGACAAUCAUGAACUCAACACUGUACACCCUGAACAGUUAGGAGCUCAACACCAUCCCCCUGAAUGGUCAUGAACUCAAUACUGUUCCCCUGAACAGGGAAAGAUGUGUAGCUUUGUAAUAUGUAGGAUAAAACAAUAAAAUGGAACCAAAUAGAAUUUGCUAACUGUCAAACAUGAAACCUGGCAUGUUUCACACUGACUGUAUGGGCAAGGAGAAGGUUUAUAUAAACUCGCAAGCACUUUGUUAACCAGUGGUUAUUUUGUGAGCUCAUAGAACUGACACUGGAUCCUUUUACCAACCACUUCUGCGUUACAGCCUAAACACAGCCUCUGCAGGCUGGGCUGACUGUCCUCCCAGUGGUAGCAUUGCCCUGUUACUGACCAUUACUUACUCACACAGCUGGUGCUGCUAGUAAUGGUUUUAGCUGGGGAAAUUCAGCCUGCCUUACAAACUGCUUGGCAGUGGAGUGUUGCACCGUAUUAGAUCACUGCUCUCUCCUGCUGCCAGAACUCUACAUCCUCUUACAAAAAUUGCAGAACUGAGACCUUAAGUUUCUAGCCGGAAAUAUUCAGUUUCCUAAAUGAGUCGUGUUUGAGGGUUAGCUGAUGAGGGGGCCUAAUAAAACAUGCCCGAGGGCAACGGACAUGGAGACAGACUUUGGUAGUUUUAGUUCCUUUUCAUUUUGUCUACAUCAGUUCAAGACGUUUUCUGUGUACGAGCCGACUCUCAAACAGGGGAACAGCCCGUGCUCAAAGUGCACACGGUGGUCUUGUGCUGAAAAACGAGCUCGUCCGCGCAUCUCACAGCUUUGCCUCAGCAGCGCUACGAAAUAGCAGAGAGGACCCUAUCAGAAAACCAGGGCGAUCUCCAGAGGUGUAGUCCAUAGAACAAUCCCAGGUCCGAAAGCCGAAGGUACUGUAGACAAGCCGGUGCACAAGCACAAAACCAGGAGCGGAGCUGUCAGCUGUGAGUCGAAACCAGAACGAGAACCAAAGUACCAAAACCAGGAGACGUAGUUGGAGAACAAACCAGGGUCAGGAAGCCAAAAACCAAGUAGUCAGUCGUGGUGAAAAUGGAAGCAGCUCUAGCCAGGAAGAACCCUCAUACUGAGCCCAGGGGAGAGUGUGAAGGACUGGGGUAAAUGGGCAAACUGGGAGCCGUGCUGGAAUGCGAGGUGGAAUGACGUGUCCUCUGGGGACAGGAUCAGUUCUGAAAGAGGAUUGGCGGACUGAUCCUGCAUUUAUCCUGCAUUUCCACAGGCCUCUUCAUUACUCAAUAGAGCCCUUUACUGAGCUGACCAUUUAUUCAUUAGAAGUGUUCCGUCUGUUUCUCUCUCCAGCUCAUGGAGAUUUCAGCUUAGCAAAUUUUCAAAGUAACUUCAAAUGAGGAGUUUGAGUAACUGACUGUGUAACAAGUGUCUAAACGAAGC